RNAcentral lists this long non-coding RNA (459 nucleotides) under Monodelphis domestica (gray short-tailed opossum). RNAcentral's name for it is "lncRNA (ENSMODG00000047208.1)". Lineage: Eukaryota; Metazoa; Chordata; Mammalia; Didelphimorphia; Didelphidae. The record is from RNAcentral.
GAAAGCUUUGGCUGCUCUAUGUGUCAGACAAUUUCAUCACAAUGCUAUUUUGAUACAUCAUCAUGAAGUACUGUGAUUUUAGGUUGUUGAAAAGCUAGGCUAGCAACAUGUUCACCGUGCCAGGAAUGGCCAAAGUGUGCUUUAUCAACUGAAUUUGCGGUUCUGUCAUCUGAGGAACAGCCUCAAUAAAGUGGCAGAAAGUCAUUACUGGAAAGCUAGCCACCAGAUGAAGGGCUCAACUGGAGAAAUUUUCAUCCAAAGCUUUCACUUGGGUUGCCAUAUAUAAUGCAGGGACCUAUUGAAGGAGUCAUUAUAGCAUGAGGACAACUUGAUACUUUACAGUGGAAGAGUAAGAUUGAAGAGAUUUGAGACUAUGUACCUGAACUCUGUCUUUGGAAUGCUUGAGUGUGAAACAUGCCUACAGAUUUCUCCCUUUGGAAGCUGUGGUGAGUACACAGA